Molecule: ribosomal RNA, 253 nt
Filed under: uncultured bacterium
Lineage: Bacteria
Description: partial 16S ribosomal RNA
Rfam family: Bacterial small subunit ribosomal RNA
Source: RNAcentral
CACGUAGGGCGCAAGCGUUGUCCGGAAUUAUUGGGCGUAAAGAGCUCGCAGGCGGACUGUCACGUCUGCUGUGAAAAGCUGGGGCUUAACCCUGGCCUUGCAGUGGAUACGGGCAGACUAGAGGUAGGUAGGGGAGAAUGGAAUUCCCGGUGUAGCGGUGAAAUGCGCAGAUAUCAGGAGGAACACCGGUGGCGAAGGCGGUUCUCUGGGCCCUACCUGACACUGAGGAGCGAAAGCGUGGGGAGCGAACAGG